AUUGCUCUUCUGAAGGGGUUUCAAAGUUAGGUGAGUGAAGUGGUUGGUCAUUUGAAAGGCUUUUGGGGUUAGGCGUGGGCGUAUUCAAAGAGUUUGGCGUGUCACUAUCCGCAUGAGAGAGUGAAUUAAUAUCAGUGGCUAGCGUGGAGAACUAGCGUGUGUUGGUGCAAUAAAUCAGCAACGGUGGUGCCUGAGCGUGGACUGUGCAACAGAUCUAGGGCGGUGGGAGGUUGUCUUUCGUACAGAGCAUGGAACGUGAGGUUCCAAUGGCAGAGUGGUAAGUCGUAUUGUGCCAAAGUUCUGCUAGAUGAAGAUAUUGGAACCAAGUGUGAGGAUGUUUGCCAGCAAAGCAUCGUAGGUAAUCUUCCAAACUUCGAUUAAGAACUUCUGUUUGUCCAUCUAUUUGCAGAUGGUAAGCAAAACUGAAUUUUAAUGUUGUGUCUUGUGCCUUGAAUAGGUGUUUCUAAAAAGUGCUGACAAAUAGGGGAUCUCGGUCUGAGACAAUGGAUUUUGGCAGCCCAUGAAUACGACAAAUCUCAACCGAGAAUCGCUUGGCAAGUUGCUGGGCAUUGAACUGUUUGGGAAGUGCCAUAAAGUGAGUAUACUUCGUGAGGUGAUCACAUAUGACCCAUAUCACAGAGUGACCUACUAAGGCAAGUAAGUGUGUUAUGAAAUCCAUUGAUAAAUCUUCCCACACUUGAUUUGGUAAUGGGAGGGGUUGGAGUAAUCCAUGGGUCUUUGUUGGCAAAUACUUGUUACGCUGACAUGUGGUGCAUUGUUGAAUGUAGUUCUUGAUAUCUCUAGUCCACCCCAACCAGUAGAAGGCAACAACAAUGCGAGCAAGGGUGGGUUUAAUGUCGGAAUGACCCGCUGUGGGCGAUUCAUGUAGUUCUUGGAGGAUGCGGUUUCUGAAAUUGUUGGUAUCUGGUUGAAACACUUGGUGACGAAAGAAAAGUAGACCAUGACGGACCGAGAAGAGGUUGGGCCUUUGUGUAUCUUUAGCGCAAGCGUCAACUAAUUUUGUUCCUUCUAUGGUGGAAUAAAAUUGGUGUAACUCUUCAAAUAACAAUGGUAUUGGCGACGAGAGUGCAAGCAACAUUGAAGGCGGAUCUGUGUCUUGGCGUGAGAGAGCAUCCGCAACCACAUUUUGUUUACCAGGUCGGUAUAGAAUUUGGAAAUCAUAUCCCUGUAACUUUGAUGUCGAUCUUUGUUGUUCUGGAGUUUGUAUUGUUUGUGACUCAAGUGUAUUUAAUUUUUUUUUAUCUGUGAUUAUUUUGAAGUGUUGCCCUAACAAGUACUGACGUCAUUUUUUUACUGCUUCUGUGAUUGCAUACAUCUCUCAAACAUACACUGAUGAAGCUUGGAGCCUUGAACACAUUUUCUUGCUAAAGAAGGAUAGUGGGUGCCCAUUUUGGCUGAGUACAACCCCCACGGCUACUGCAGACGCGUAUGUUUCCACAACAAAAGGCAAGGAAAAAUCUGGUAGGUGUAGUGUAGGAACUUGAGAUAUUUGUAAUUUUAAUUAUGUAAAGGCCUCCUGAGCCAAGACACUCCAUGUAAAUUUUUUAUUAUGCAACAAAUCGGUGAGAGGAGCGGCGAGAGUGGCGUAGUGAUAAACAAACUUUCUAUAAAAUCCUGUGAGGCCGAGAAAAUCACGUAAUUUUGUGAGUGAACAUGGAUGCGGCCAAUUGUGUAUGGCAAUAACUUUUUCUGGAUCAGGGGCUACUCCUUUAGCCGAAAUGAUAUGGCCCAAGUAAUUUACUUUAGAAGUGUCAAAACUGCACUUAGAUAACUUAGCAAAAAAUUUCUUAGUGUGUAAAACUUCUAAGAUAAUCUUUAAGUGCACAACAUGUUCCUGCAAAUUGGGACUAUAAAUCAAAAUAUCAUCAAAGAAA
RNAcentral lists this long non-coding RNA (1895 nucleotides) under Phaseolus vulgaris (common bean). RNAcentral describes it as "long non-coding RNA (PVUL_LNC004027)". Lineage: Eukaryota; Viridiplantae; Streptophyta; Magnoliopsida; Fabales; Fabaceae. The record is from RNAcentral.